AAGGGCAAACGGAAUUCCGGGUUUAUCGCUCGAAUGCGUUGAAAUCCGGAGAACUCCGACGCCGAAGUCAGCUUGCGGGCACAUUCCUGACGUUGAGGCACGUAAGCUAGGGGAGCAAACAUGGCUUAGAUAACCCUUGGUAGUCCUAGCCGUCACUGAAUGCGCACUUGGUUUUGGGGAGACUGAUCUAUUCGGGGCCGUAGCUGACGCGUUCAGUGCCCUGCCUGGUGAGUAUGGCUCGCAAGUCUGGAACUCAAAGGCAUUGACGGGUCCUCACACAAGCGGUGGAGCAUGUUGUUCAAUUCGAAGCAACUCGAAGAACCUUACCUGGGCAUGACAUUCUGGCAGUAGGAACCUGAAAGGGGGACCACCGGUAUCCAGUCCGGAACCAGCACAGGUGCUGCAUGUCUGUCGUCAGCUCGUGUCGUGAGACGUCGGGUUAAGUCCCAUAUCGAGCGCAACCCCUGUCCUUAGUUGAUACCGGUUCAUGCCGCGCACUUUAGCGAGACUGCCGGUGUCUCCACCGGAGGAAGGUGGGUACGACGUCAAGUCAUCAUGGUCCUAUCGUCCAGGGCUACAAACGUGCUACAAUGUCAGGGACAGAGAGACGCGAUACCUGCGAGGUGGAGCAAAUCUUCAAACCCUGCCCCAGUUCGGAUUGGAGGCUGCAAUUCGCCUCCAUGAAGUUGGAAUCGC
Molecule: ribosomal RNA, 696 nt
Filed under: uncultured organism
Description: bacterial SSU rRNA
Rfam family: Bacterial small subunit ribosomal RNA
Source: RNAcentral